UCCCUUAUAAAUUUAUUCUUAUAAAAUAAAGAGGUCUGUCAAGAUCUUGCUUUUGGAUGUUUUUAUCUCGUAUAUUGUAGUAGUUGAGGUAAAAGCUCAACUAGCUUUACAUACGUAGUCGAAACUGAGAGGUUGAUCGAUCACAAUGGACCUGAACAAAGUCCAUGAUAUACAUUACAGCAGUGAGGAAUAUUGGUCAAUGGCCUAGCGGCUGAACCAGCAACUUGGAGGAAUGUAUAGCGAAAGCUAGUUUACCGAAAAAUUUCGGUGUAACAUCAAUUUACUUGAAUAAAGUUCUGAGUAAAAUUAUGAUAAUGACAUAUUUUACUUAUGUGUCUUGACCAAAUUACGUGCCAGCAGUCGCGGUAAUACGUAGUAGACUAGUGUUAUUCAUCUUUAAUAGGUUUAAAGGGUACCUAGACGGCAAAUUAAGCCUUAACAGGAACUAACUUGCUAGAGUUACUUACGAGGGAGCUUAAAGGUACUGGUGGUGGAGGGAUGAAAUUCUUUGAUACCUUUAUUAGAAAUAAGCAGUGACGGCACAGAUUAAGGCGAAAGCAUCUCCCUAUGUGAUAACUGACGUUGAGGGACGAAGGCUUCAUAUAACGAAAAGGAUUAGAUACCCUUGUAGUUGAAGGCAGACAAUGAUGAGUGUCAUAGAUUAGAUACUAAUCUAUUCUAUAAAUGAUAAUGUAAGCACUCCACCUCAAGAGUAAUUUGGCAACAUUGGAACUGAAAUCAUUAGACCGUUUCUGAAACCAGUAGUGAAGUAUGUUGUUUAAUUUGAUAAUCCGCAAAAAACCUUACCAAGACUAGUUCAAAGUUGAACAGGUGCACUAUUCAACUUGAAUAUUUAUAUUGAAAAAUAUAAUUACAAGCGCUGCACGGCUGUCUUCAGCUAAUGUCGUGAGACUUUGGUUAGCUCCAUUAAAUUAGCGUAAACCCUUGCUUUAUUUUUAAAUAAAGCAGUUCUCCAUUACAAAGGAUAUGACAA
This 994-nucleotide ribosomal RNA is filed under the name Lasioloma antillarum. Its description in RNAcentral is "SSU rRNA". It matches the Rfam family "Bacterial small subunit ribosomal RNA", at positions 167 to 1155 of the family's 1533-position model. Lineage: Eukaryota; Fungi; Ascomycota; Lecanoromycetes; Lecanorales; Ectolechiaceae. The record is from RNAcentral.